Heterocephalus glaber (naked mole-rat) is the source of this 461-nucleotide non-coding RNA. NCBI's taxonomy places the organism in Eukaryota, Metazoa, Chordata, Mammalia, Rodentia, Bathyergidae. The record is from RefSeq and is a predicted model, not a curated record.
UGGAGGCUGACACACCUGUGCUCACAAUAAGAAGACUGAAAAGCUGAAAAGAAACAACUCUUCUUAGACCUAUCAGAGAACUGAGGUCACAGGACCCUACCCUGAAAACUGAGAGAUCAAGAAAGAAAGCCACAGCUGACCUGGACCAGAGGCCCCUGGAGUGUUUACUGUCAGACACAUUUGCAAGGUUAAGGAACUCUUUUGGUAGAAGAUAAUGAAGCCCAGGAGUUGUACUACACUCCAGGAAUUCUGGACCAUCACAAGCACCACCAAAAAAGAAAGUUAAGGGCCUGGGAUUUAGCUCAGUGGUUCCAGUGCUUGCCUCACAAGUGCAAGGUCCCGAGUUCGAUCCCGGGUACCAGAAAAAUUAAAAAAAAAAAAAGAAAGUUAAUCAUGAGAUUAUAGAAUGUUUCUCCUCCUCAGUACUUUACCACCACAUCAAUACAGCCCCAGUAUAAUAA